UACGAAGGGGGCUAGCGUUGUUCGGAUUUACUGGGCGUAAAGCGCACGUAGGCGGGUCGUUAAGUCGGGGGUGAAAUCCUGGAGCUCAACUCCAGAACUGCCUUCGAUACUGGCGACCUAGAGUCCGGAAGAGGUGAGUGGAGCUCCUAGUGUAGAGGUGGAAUUCGUAGAUAUUAGGAAGAACACCAGUGGCGAAGGCGGCUCACUGGUCCGGUACUGACGCUGAGGUGCGAAAGCGUGGGGAGCAAACAGG
This 253-nucleotide ribosomal RNA is filed under the name uncultured bacterium. RNAcentral's name for it is "partial 16S ribosomal RNA". It matches the Rfam family "Bacterial small subunit ribosomal RNA", at positions 524 to 776 of the family's 1533-position model. The record is from RNAcentral.